This 449-nucleotide ribosomal RNA is filed under the name uncultured bacterium. RNAcentral describes it as "partial 16S ribosomal RNA". It matches the Rfam family "Bacterial small subunit ribosomal RNA", at positions 29 to 523 of the family's 1533-position model. The record is from RNAcentral.
AACGAACGCUGGCGGCAGGCUUAACACAUGCAAGUCGAACGCAUCCUUCGGGGUGAGUGGCAGACGGGUGAGUAACGCGUGGGAACGUGCCCUUCAGUUCGGGAUAACCCAGGGAAACUUGGGCUAAUACCGGAUACGUGCGAGAGCAGAAAGAUUUAUCGCUGAAGGAUCGGCCCGCGUCUGAUUAGCUAGUUGGUGGGGUAAUGGCCCACCAAGGCGACGAUCAGUAGCCGGUCUGAGAGGAUGAUCAGCCACAUUGGGACUGGGACACGGCCCAAACUCCUACGGGAGGCAGCAGGUGGGAAUAUUGGACAAUGGGCGCAAGCUUGAUCCAGCCAUGCCGCGUGAGUGAUGAAGGCCUCAGGGUUGUAAAGCUCUUUCGUCCGGGACGAUAAUGACGGUACCGGAAGAAGAAGCCCCGGCUAACUUCGUGCCAGCCGCCGCAGUAA